AUUGAACGCUGGCGGCAGGCCUAACACAUGCAAGUCGAACGGUAACAGGAAGAAGCUUGCUUCUUUGCUGACGAGUGGCGGACGGGUGAGUAAUGUCUGGGAAACUGCCUGAUGGAGGGGGAUAACUACUGGAAACGGUAGCUAAUACCGCAUAACGUCGCAAGACCAAAGAGGGGGACCUUCGGGCCUCUUACCAUCGGAUGUGCCCAGAUGGGAUUAGCUAGUAGGUGGGGUAACGGCUCACCUAGGCGACGAUCCCUAGCUGGUCUGAGAGGAUGACCAGCCACACUGGAACUGAGACACGGUCCAGACUCCUACGGGAGGCAGCAGUGGGGAAUAUUGCACAAUGGGCGCAAGCCUGAUGCAGCCAUGCCGCGUGUAUGAAGAAGGCCUUCGGGUUGUAAAGUACUUUCAGCGGGGAGGAAGGGAGUAAAGUUAAUACCUUUGCUCAUUGACGUUACCCGCAGAAGAAGCGCCGGCUAACUCCGUG
This 490-nucleotide ribosomal RNA is filed under the name uncultured bacterium. RNAcentral's name for it is "partial 16S ribosomal RNA". It matches the Rfam family "Bacterial small subunit ribosomal RNA", at positions 30 to 507 of the family's 1533-position model. The record is from RNAcentral.